Non-coding RNA from Cordylochernes scorpioides, 73 nucleotides. NCBI's taxonomy places the organism in Eukaryota, Metazoa, Arthropoda, Arachnida, Pseudoscorpiones, Chernetidae. The record is from the annotation of a GenBank genome assembly.
GACCAGGGAUGGGAAUCGAACCCACAAUGUUCCGCUUACCGGGCAGAUGCCAUGUCCACUAGGCUACCCUGGA